AUGUCCUUUGAGUUUCCUGGCACAGAGUGGAAGAAGGCCCUCUUUCAAGCCGGAAAUCUUGUGACUGUGGUUGCCGAGUGGGCCUGUUCCCAGGUCCCGCAGUUCCCGAGCCGCGACCAGCUGCAGAAGGAGAAAAGCCUUUUUGCUUUCGGGACGAUUUGGUCGAGUCGUGCCCAUGGUCGGCUUAGAGGGAGAAGGGACAACCAGAAAAUCAUCGUUUGAGCGUCAGAGGAGAAAAGAAAACACAGAAGUUAAUUCUAAAAGGUAAGAAAAGGAGGGGACACGCUCCGGCUCAGGAUGGAGUGGGAGUGUGGUAGGCGGCGGGGCGAGGCGGGGGGGAGGUGGAC
This 347-nucleotide long non-coding RNA is filed under the name Sus scrofa (pig). RNAcentral's name for it is "lncRNA (ENSSSCG00070024934.1)". Lineage: Eukaryota; Metazoa; Chordata; Mammalia; Artiodactyla; Suidae. The record is from RNAcentral.